AAUGAACGCUGGCGGCAGGCCUAACACAUGCAAGUCGAACGGAUCCUUCGGGAUUAGUGGCGGACGGGUAAGUAACGCGUGGGAACAUACCCUUUGGUACGGAAUAGCCUCGGGAAACUGGGAGUAAUACCGUAUGUGGUCGAGAGACGAAAGAUUUAUCGCCAAAGGAUUGGCCCGCGUUGGAUUAGGUAGUUGGUGGGGUAAUGGCUACCAAGCCGACGACCCAUAGCUGGUUUGAGAGGAUGAUCAGCCACACUGGGACUGAGACACGGCCCAGACUCCUACGGGAGGCAGCAGUGGGGAAUCUUAGACAAUGGGGGAAACCCUGAUCUAGCCAUGCCGCGUGAUCGAUGAGGGCCUUAGGGUUGUAAAGAUCUUUCAGGUGGGAAGAUAAUGACUGUACCACCAGAAGAAGCCCCGGCUAACUCCGUGCCAGCCGCCGCCGUAA
This 448-nucleotide ribosomal RNA is filed under the name uncultured bacterium. Its description in RNAcentral is "partial 16S ribosomal RNA". It matches the Rfam family "Bacterial small subunit ribosomal RNA", at positions 29 to 523 of the family's 1533-position model. The record is from RNAcentral.